UACAGAGGAUGCAAGCGUUAUCCGGAAUGAUUGGGCGUAAAGCGUCUGUAGGUGGCUUUUUAAGUCCGCCGUCAAAUCCCAGGGCUCAACUCUGGACAGGCGGUGGAAACUACCAAGCUGGAGUACGGUAGGGGCAGAGGGAAUUUCCGGUGGAGCGGUGAAAUGCGUAGAGAUCAGGAGGAACACCCAUGGCGAAGGCAGCUCUCUGGUCGACCUCUGACGCUGAGACGCGAAAGCGUGGGGAGCGAACGGG
RNAcentral lists this ribosomal RNA (253 nucleotides) under uncultured bacterium. RNAcentral's name for it is "partial 16S ribosomal RNA". It matches the Rfam family "Bacterial small subunit ribosomal RNA", at positions 524 to 776 of the family's 1533-position model. The record is from RNAcentral.